UAGCCCGGGGAAACUCGGAUUAAUACCGUAUACCUCCUAUGGGAGAAAGAGGGCCUCUCUUGAAGCUCUCGCUACUAGAUGAGCCUGCGUAAGAUUAGCUUGUUGGUAAGGUAAUGGCUUACCAAGGCUACGAUCUUUAGCUGGUCUGAGAGGACGAUCAGCCACAUUGGGACUGAGACACGGCCCAGACUCCUACGGGAGGCAGCAGUGGGGAAUAUUGGACAAUGGGCGCAAGCCUGAUCCAGCCAUACCGCGUGUGUGAAGAAGGCCUUCGGGUUGUAAAGCAC
RNAcentral lists this ribosomal RNA (287 nucleotides) under uncultured Pseudomonadota bacterium. RNAcentral's name for it is "uncultured proteobacterium partial 16S ribosomal RNA". It matches the Rfam family "Bacterial small subunit ribosomal RNA", at positions 144 to 433 of the family's 1533-position model. Lineage: Bacteria; Pseudomonadati; Pseudomonadota. The record is from RNAcentral.